Molecule: ribosomal RNA, 253 nt
Filed under: uncultured bacterium
Lineage: Bacteria
Description: partial 16S ribosomal RNA
Rfam family: Bacterial small subunit ribosomal RNA
Source: RNAcentral
GACGAACCGUGCGAACGUUGUUCGGAAUCACUGGGCUUAAAGGGCGCGUAGGCGGGCAUGCAAGUCAGAGGUGAAAGCCCCCGGCUCAACCGGGGAAGUGCCUUUGAUACUGUGUGUCUCGAGGGGGAUAGGGGCGUGCGGAACUUCCGGUGGAGCGGUGAAAUGCGUAGAUAUCGGAAGGAACACCGGUGGCGAAAGCGGCGCGCUGGAUCCCUUCUGACGCUGAGGCGCGAAAGCCAGGGGAGCGAACGGG